AUCAGCAUGUCAUAAAACAUAAGAAUAAGGGAUGAAGUUUAAUUCCCGAGCCUAGGGGCAAAAGUGUAAUUAUGCAAAAGUUUAGGGGCAAAAUGAUCAAGAGAAAUGAGAUUCAAGUCGUGAUCGAGGGAAAAAUAAAGUUUACAAGGAAUAGGCCCGAUUGCUAAUAUUUUGUAUCGAGUGUUGUCAGGUUAGCUAAGGGUUGGAGACCGUCGGAGGCAGCAUCACACUAUCAAGGCAACACCUUGACAGUAUAAACACAUAUGCUAGAUUUAUCAAUUUUGUCAAGCUAACUCGGGGAUCGUAAAGUACGUCGGAGGUCCGAGCACACUAUCAUAAGGAUUAUUUUGGUAUAGCUAGACGUUUCAUUUUGAGUAUGGCAUGUAUAGCAUCGUAGCCAUUUUGUGUGUAUGAUCUUAUGAUAUGGCUGAUGAAUAGUAUGUAAAUGCUUGAUAAUCAUUAGCUAUUGGAAUGACUAAUCAAGGACAUGUUUGGUGUUAUGUAUGCCUAAAUGCUAGUUAUUCCAUGGAAAUCAUGAAAAAGGUGAAAUUAGCUUUAAAACAGUAUCAAAUAGCAGUAAUGAUGUGAAUUUGGAAAAUCACUAAAAAUUGUAGAAAUGGAUUUAGAUAUUGAAUGAGAUAUAGAAUUAAAUCUUA
Molecule: long non-coding RNA, 656 nt
Organism: Gossypium arboreum
Lineage: Eukaryota; Viridiplantae; Streptophyta; Magnoliopsida; Malvales; Malvaceae
Exons: 4
Source: RefSeq, a predicted model, not a curated record